Molecule: long non-coding RNA, 1043 nt
Organism: Chenopodium quinoa (quinoa)
Lineage: Eukaryota; Viridiplantae; Streptophyta; Magnoliopsida; Caryophyllales; Amaranthaceae
Exons: 2
Source: RefSeq, a predicted model, not a curated record
AAAGUUUGACAUAUUACAACUUACUUAUAGUUGCGUCGAUUUUAUAAAUAGGAAUGACGCAUAUAAUAAUGGUAUUUGCGUCGCUCGUUCAUUGAGAAUUGACGCAAAUAACUUUGUGAGUCAAUUGCGUCAUUUCUUUCUUUACUGAGUGACGCAAAUGACCAUUAUAAUUUAUAAUAACUCUCGCUGCCUUAUGCCAUUCAAACUUCAAAACUCCAAACCCCAGCAAAUUCAACCCCGAAAUUCCCAGAAAUUCAACAUCAAAACCCCAACAAUUCGAUCAAUAAAACCCCAAAAUUCCCCUUUGCUGCUGUUUGACCACCAAAAUAUCAACGAAUUAAUAGCAAUACCGCCAGAAAUUCGACCACUGCUCGAAAAUCCAAGCUAAUGUGAGGAAAAAUCCCCUAUAUUCGAGCAAAUCCAAGGAGAAAUUCAAUAUUUUCGAGCAAAAAAUCGACCCAAAACCCCCACAAAAUACAACUGCAGAAUAUUGAGCAAAUUUACCCUAAAUUCCCGAGCAUAAUUGUGAGAAAAUUUAAGUUUGAGUUUCGAAUUUAGGGUUCAUUUUUUGUUCUGCGAUUGCAGAUUUUACACACAGAUCUAAGCAAGAAGGUUGGAUUUUCGUUCAAAUUAGUGGCAAUUUGUUAUGAUUCAUAUGGAAUUUUUGCUCUAUUGUUGCUGAAGUUGCAAAAUUGAUUUCAAGCAAGGAGCUGGUCACUUUAAACUUUUUAUUUGCAAGAGAAAAAUGAAUUGGACUUCCAUUAUGGACUUGUUCGUGUUAGAGAAAAUGAAGAUUUUGUCCCUAAAUUGAUUUCUGCUGUGGCUUCAAAUUCCAUUUAUUUUAUUGGAUUAUUUUGUUUUUGUUUCUAGGCUUGAAAUGAACGCAUUUGGUUUAUCAACAUUUGGGUUGGUCUGGCUUGUGUUAUUGAUGAUGAAAAUGUCAAUAUUGUCGAGUGUAAACUUAUUUGACAGGUUGCUAAUACAAGACGCCAUCAUUCCCAAAUUAAUGGGUAGGCUAAAAUACAAAGGAAAUUCUGUCGAAA